RNAcentral lists this ribosomal RNA (292 nucleotides) under uncultured bacterium. RNAcentral describes it as "partial 16S ribosomal RNA". It matches the Rfam family "Bacterial small subunit ribosomal RNA", at positions 505 to 796 of the family's 1533-position model. The record is from RNAcentral.
GUGCCAGCAGCCGCGGUAAUACGUAGGGUGCGAGCGUUAAUCGGAAUUACUGGGCGUAAAGCGUGCGCAGGCGGCUCGACAAGUCAGAUGUGAAAGCCCCGGGCUCAACCUGGGAAUGGCGUUUGAAACUGUCGGGCUAGAGUUUGGCAGAGGGAGGUGGAAUUCCACGUGUAGCAGUGAAAUGCGUAGAGAUGUGGAGGAACACCGAUGGCGAAGGCAGCCUCCUGGGCCAGAACUGACGCUCAUGCACGAAAGCGUGGGGAGCAAACAGGAUUAGAUACCCCCGUAGUCC